AACGAACGCUGGCGGCAUGCCUAACACAUGCAAGUCGAACGAGACCUUCGGGUCUAGUGGCGCACGGGUGCGUAACGCGUGGGAACCUGCCCUUAGGUUCGGAAUAACUCCCCGAAAGGGGUGCUAAUACCGGAUAAUGUCUUCGGACCAAAGAUUUAUCGCCUAUGGAUGGGCCCGCGUUGGAUUAGCUAGUUGGUAGGGUAAAAGCCUACCAAGGCGACGAUCCAUAGCUGGUCUGAGAGGAUGAUCAGCCACACUGGGACUGAGACACGGCCCAGACUCCUACGGGAGGCAGCAGUGGGGAAUAUUAGACAAUGGGCGAAAGCCUGAUCCAGCCAUGCCGCGUGAGUGAUGAAGGCCUUAGGGUUGUAAAGCUCUUUUAGCUGGGAUGAUAAUGACAGUACCGGGAGAAUAAGCUCCGGCUAACUCCGUG
This 433-nucleotide ribosomal RNA is filed under the name uncultured bacterium. RNAcentral's name for it is "partial 16S ribosomal RNA". It matches the Rfam family "Bacterial small subunit ribosomal RNA", at positions 29 to 507 of the family's 1533-position model. The record is from RNAcentral.